UGUUAUCACGGGAGACACACGGCGGGUGCUAACGUCCGUCGUGAAGAGGGAAACAACCCAGACCGCCAGCUAAGGUCCCAAAGUCAUGGUUAAGUGGGAAACGAUGUGGGAAGGCACAGACAGCCAGGAUGUUGGCUUAGAAGCAGCCAUCAUUUAAAGAAAGCGUAAUAGCUCACUGGUCGAGUCGGCCUGCGCGGAAGAUGUAACGGGGCUAAACCAUGCACCGAAGCUGCGGCAGCGACACUAUGUGUUGUUGGGUAGGGGAGCGUUCUGUAAGCCUGCGAAGGUGACCUGUGAGGGUUGCUGGAGGUAUCAGAAGUGCGAAUGCUGACAUAAGUAACGAUAAAGCGGGUGAAAAGCCCGCUCGCCGGAAGACCAAGGGUUCCUGUCCAACGUUAAUCGGGGCAGGGUGAGUCGACCCCUAAGGCGAGGCCGAAAGGCGUAGUCGAUGGGAAACAGGUUAAUAUUCCUGUACUUGGUGUUACUGCGAAGGGGGGACGGAGAAGGCUAUGUUAGCCGGGCGACGGUUGUCCCGGUUUAAGCAUGUAGGCUGGUUGUCCAGGCAAAUCCGGAUAAUCAAGGCUGAGGUGUGAUGACGAGGCACUACGGUGCUGAAGUAACAAAUGCCCUGCUUCCAGGAAAAGCCUCUAAGCAUCAGGUAACAUCAAAUCGUACCCCAAACCGACACAGGUGGUCAGGUAGAGAAUACCAAGGCGCUUGAGAGAACUCGGGUGAAGGAACUAGGCAAAAUGGUGCCGUAACUUCGGGAGAAGGCACGCUGGUGUGUAGGUGAAGUCCCUGCGGAUGGAGCUGAGACCAGUCGAAGAUACCAGCUGGCUGCAACUGUUUAUUAAAAACACAGCACUGUGCAAACACGAAAGUGGACGUAUACGGUGUGACGCCUGCCCGGUGCCGGAAGGUUAAUUGAUGGGGUUAUCCGUAAGGAGAAGCUCUUGAUCGAAGCCCCGGUAAACGGCGGCCGUAACUAUAACGGUCCUAAGGUAGCGAAAUUCCUUGUCGGGUAAGUUCCGACCUGCACGAAUGGCGUAAUGAUGGCCAGGCUGUCUCCACCCGAGACUCAGUGAAAUUGAACUCGCUGUGAAGAUGCAGUGUACCCGCGGCAAGACGGAAAGACCCCGUGAACCUUUACUAUAGCUUGACACUGAACAUUGAGCCUUGAUGUGUAGGAUAGGUGGGAGGCUUUGAAGCGUGGACGCCAGUCUGCGUGGAGCCAACCUUGAAAUACCACCCUUUAAUGUUUGAUGUUCUAACGUUGGCCCCUGACCGGGGUUGCGGACAGUGUCUGGUGGGUAGUUUGACUGGGGCGGUCUCCUCCCAAAGCGUAACGGAGGAGCACGAAGGUUAGCUAAUCCUGGUCGGACAUCAGGAGGUUAGUGCAAUGGCAUAAGCUAGCUUGACUGCGAGCGUGACGGCGCGAGCAGGUGCGAAAGCAGGUCAUAGUGAUCCGGUGGUUCUGAAUGGAAGGGCCAUCGCUCAACGGAUAAAAGGUACUCCGGGGAUAACAGGCUGAUACCGCCCAAGAGUUCAUAUCGACGGCGGUGUUUGGCACCUCGAUGUCGGCUCAUCACAUCCUGGGGCUGAAGUAGGUCCCAAGGGUAUGGCUGUUCGCCAUUUAAAGUGGUACGCGAGCUGGGUUUAGAACGUCGUGAGACAGUUCGGUCCCUAUCUGCCGUGGGCGCUGGAGAAUUGAGGGGGGCUGCUCCUAGUACGAGAGGACCGGAGUGGACGCAUCACUGGUGUUCGGGUUGUCAUGCCAAUGGCACUGCCCGGUAGCUAAAUGCGGAAGAGAUAAGUGCUGAAAGCAUCUAAGCACGAAACUUGCCCCGAGAUGAGUUCUCCCUGAGACUUUAAGUCUCCUGAAGGAACGUUGAAGACGACGACGUUGAUAGGCCGGGUGUGUAAGCGCAGCGAUGCGUUGAGCUAACCGGUACUAAUGAACCGUGAGGCUUAACCUU
Molecule: ribosomal RNA, 1976 nt
Filed under: Klebsiella pneumoniae
Lineage: Bacteria; Pseudomonadati; Pseudomonadota; Gammaproteobacteria; Enterobacterales; Enterobacteriaceae
Description: partial 23S ribosomal RNA
Rfam family: Bacterial large subunit ribosomal RNA
Source: RNAcentral